GGCCGGUACCUGGGUUCCCGGCUAAGGAAAGCUGCCCUGGUUAUUAUCUGGUCACCUCACCGGCUGCGCAAACGUGUCCACAACGGGUCCCUCCCCGAGAGGCCACAUCUCGCCUAAGGUGGAGCCAGCAGGUAUUUGCCUGUGGAAAACUGCAGUGGAUCCUGCCCCGUCUGCGUAGACUGCGCAGCUCGGAGUCAAAGAUUCGUUCUGGCCAGAGAGGAGGUACUAAGAGAGGUGCGACCUAGCCAAGAACGAGGUCGUGGAGAAAACCCUGUGGGGGCGGCGCUCACAUAUGCGGUGAUGAGGAGUUGUGAGGGCCCUGGGGUCGGCCCCGAAAAGUAGGGAUAACGGUCGCAGAGGCCAUACUGCUUCCGCCGGUCCCGAAUCCGCACUGCCAGGAGAGAUCCGGCCUUCAAACGCUGCUCCCAACGUUCAACAACGAAGUGCCCUGCGACCGGUAAAACGACCUUCAGGAAUCAGCCUGAGUGUUCGCGCCCGAGCCCGAUUGGAAGCAGGUGCGUGGUCGCUUCACUCUCCCCGUGCACACCUUGAGUUAUAGCUCUCGCUGCGCACAGAGGGCACCACACGGGGCCCGACACACACACACACACACACACACACACACACACACACACACACACCAUCACUUCAUGGGGGGGAAACUGAGGCUGCCGGAAGACAGAAAACGAAGACUGAUCACAGAAGAGGGGGCUUCAAUCACAGGUGCUCGCAGACACCCCAACUCCCUCACGCGUUACUCAGCACUCCUUAACUUAGGAGACGUGCGCUUCCGAGAGAUGAGAAGAAACUAAAAAAGUGGUUGGCAGGGCGAAGAGAGGAAGCCGGUAUUUCGGAAGAAGGAGACUUUCGUCUCCGGUACCGGAUAGGGCGAAAAUUCGUUGGGUCGCGGGUGGAGAAUCCGGGGUCCGCCCGCGCGGUGCCGCCCUGUGCUCAGCGAAAGGUGCGCUCACCUUCCUGGCCCCGAGGAUCCGCUCCUCCCGGCCGCUGGAAAGCUCAGGGCGGGGCCCGGGCCUGCGGAGAACUCCAGGUUCCUUCCGAGUCUUCCGGUGAAGGCGGGCGCGGGUAGGGGGUCCCCGCGUUUCCCCAGCGCAAGGCCGCGUCCCGCUCCCGCCCGCGCCGGCCCCAGCAGGGCUCGGCCAUGGCUCCACUCACCAGCUCCCGCCACCUGGGAUCCGCUCCCGGACCUCGGCCGCCCGAGCCUCCCGACUCGCCCGCCCACCGGCCUCGCUUUCCAGUGCCUGCUGUCUCUUUCCGGGGCGCAGGGACCCCCAGGCGGCGCCACGACCCGGAGCUGGGUCGGAGGCCAGGCUGGGGCUCGGGCCAGAGCGGCCGGGCCUCUGGGCGCGGGAGAAGGAGGGCGCCCCCUCUCCGCU
RNAcentral lists this long non-coding RNA (1394 nucleotides) under Homo sapiens (human). RNAcentral describes it as "non-protein coding lnc-TBX2-1:1". The record is from RNAcentral. Lineage: Eukaryota; Metazoa; Chordata; Mammalia; Primates; Hominidae.